RNAcentral lists this ribosomal RNA (301 nucleotides) under uncultured bacterium. RNAcentral describes it as "partial 16S ribosomal RNA". It matches the Rfam family "Bacterial small subunit ribosomal RNA", at positions 509 to 807 of the family's 1533-position model. The record is from RNAcentral.
CAGCCGCCACGGUAAUACGGAGGGGGCUAGCGUUGUUCGGAAUUACUGGGCGUAAAGCGCACGUAGGCGGUUUUGUAAGUCAGAGGUGAAAGCCCGGAGCUCAACUCCGGAACUGCCUUUGAGACUGCAUCACUUGAACGUCGGAGAGGUGAGUGGAAUUCCGAGUGUAGAGGUGAAAUUCGUAGAUAUUCGGAAGAACACCAGUGGCGAAGGCGGCUCACUGGACGACUGUUGACGCUGAGGUGCGAAAGCGUGGGGAGCAAACAGGAUUAGAUACCCCCGUAGUCCCUGUCUCUUAUAC